RNAcentral lists this small nucleolar RNA (136 nucleotides) under Castor canadensis (American beaver). RNAcentral describes it as "Small nucleolar RNA SNORA51 (ENSCCNG00000027953.1)". It matches the Rfam family "Small nucleolar RNA SNORA51". From Rfam's summary of the family: ACA51 is a member of the H/ACA class of snoRNA that guide the sites of modification of uridines to pseudouridines. Lineage: Eukaryota; Metazoa; Chordata; Mammalia; Rodentia; Castoridae. The record is from Rfam by way of RNAcentral.
AGCCUCCUGGUGCUUACCACAGGCUGUGUACAUACACUGACUGUAUAGAAAGAGGAGGCAAAGAAACCCUACCCCCUCCCCUUAUCCCUCAGCUCAAGCCCUGGGCCUGGUCUGUAUUGUGAAUGGGGAGACAUGG